RNAcentral lists this long non-coding RNA (1108 nucleotides) under Homo sapiens (human). RNAcentral describes it as "long non-coding RNA NONHSAT054039.2". Lineage: Eukaryota; Metazoa; Chordata; Mammalia; Primates; Hominidae. The record is from RNAcentral.
CGGACGGGGCCGCCCCGAUGGGACGCCGCGCUCCGGCCCCUGCGCGCCGCUGAGCCGAGCGCCCCCCGCUGCCGAGACCCCCGCCGCCACCGCCAGCCGCUGCCCCCUCGCCCCCGCCCGGGCCGGGAGCCUCGUCCCCGUCCCCCGGAAAGCUGGAUUUCCGAGGCUGGAGGCGCCUGGCCGGCUGGGUGGGGACCACCAUGGGCAACGCGGCCGGCAGCGCCGAGCAGCCCGCGGGCCCCGCCGCGCCGCCCCCCAAGCAGCCCGCGCCUCCCAAGCAGCCGAUGCCCGCGGCCGGUGAUCAAGACGGUGCCCUUCACGGCCCGCACCGGCAAGCGGACAUCCCGGCUCCUCUGUGAGGCCAGCCUGGGAGAAGAGAUGCCCCUCUAGCCCCUCAGGUACCCAGAUGACCUGGCCUCUGAUACCACGCUGCCCACAGCCCCUGGGACCCUUGGGAGAACUGAGGCAUGCUGCCUUCUCCUGGGCCAGUGGAUGGCUGGGAUGUGAUUUGUGGGGUGGAGGGGUCUGGCAAACAUAAACGGUACCCCUGCCAUGUGCACACAAUCUGAGUCCUUAGGAGGCUAAGCUUUGUGCCCUGGAGCCAUGCUCCCAGCUCUGGGCGGACUCCUGAAUGGUAAAUGUGUCUCCUUCGGCUGCCAGAUCUGCGGAACCAGCCCUACAUCCGCGCAGACACAGGCCGCCGCAGUGCCCGUCGGCGUCCCCCGGGCCCCCCACUGCAGGUCACCUCCGACCUCUCGCUGUAGCCGCUAUUUCUGCAGGUGGAUUCUGCAGGGGUGUGGGGCCGUGGACAGGCUGAGGCUCAAGGAAGGUGGUCCUCAGCUCGGCUGGCCGGGCAGCCCCUCCUCCGCUGUGGCCCGCCUCAAACGGGCUGGUGCAUCCUCCUCUUGGCCACAGAGGGCAGCAUCGCCCGCCCCUUCCCCCAAAUGCUGCUUGCAGCACCCACCCUAAAGCCCCCUCCAAAUAGCCAUACUUAGCCUCAGCAGGAGCCUGGCCUGUAACUUAUAAAGUGCACCUCGCCCCCGCAAGCCCCAGCCCCGAGGACCGUCCAUGGACCUUAUUUUUAUAUGAGAUUAAUAAAGAUGUUUGC